Molecule: ribosomal RNA, 497 nt
Filed under: uncultured bacterium
Lineage: Bacteria
Description: partial 16S ribosomal RNA
Rfam family: Bacterial small subunit ribosomal RNA
Source: RNAcentral
GAUGAACGCUGGCGGCGUGCCUAAUACAUGCAAGUCGAGCGAACGGACGAGACGCUUGCUUCUCUGAUGUUAGCGGCGGACGGGUGAGUCACACGUGUAUAACCUACCUAUAUGACUGGGAUCACUUCGGGAAACCGGCGCUAAUACCGUAUAAUAUUUUGCACCGCAUGGUUCAAAAGUGAAAGUCGGUCUUGCUGUCACUUAUAGCUGGAUCCGCGCUGCAUUAGCUAGUUGGUAAGGUAACGGCUUACCAAGGCAACGAUGCAUAGACGACGUGAGAGGGUGAUCGGCCACACUGGAACUGAGACACGGUCCAGACUCCUACGGGAGGCAGCAGUAGGGAAUCUUCCGCAAUGGGCGAAAGCCUGACGGAGCGACGCCGCGUGAGUGAUGAAGGUCUUCGGAUCGUAAAACUCUGUUAUUAGGGAAGAACAGAUGUGGAAGGAACUGUGCACAUCUUGACGGUACCGAAUCAGAAAGCCACGGCUAACUACGUG